This 278-nucleotide ribosomal RNA is filed under the name uncultured bacterium. RNAcentral's name for it is "partial 16S ribosomal RNA". It matches the Rfam family "Bacterial small subunit ribosomal RNA", at positions 506 to 784 of the family's 1533-position model. The record is from RNAcentral.
UGCCAGCAGCCGCGGUAAUACGUAAGUGGCAAGCGUUAUCCGGAUUUACUGGGCAUAAAGCGCACGCAGGCGGCUUGUUAAGUCAGAUGUAAAAGACCACAGCUUAACUGUGGUAUACAUUUGAUACUGGCUUGCUAGAGAACAGGAGAGGAAAGUGGAACGCACGGUGUAGCGGUGAAAUGCGUAGAUAUCGUGAGGAACACCAGUUGCGAAGGCGGCUUUCUGGACUGAUUCUGACGCUGAGGUGCGAAAGCGUGGGGAGCGAACGGGAUUAGAUA